UUCCUCUCCCCGCUUAUCUGAAGCACCCUGUCAUCUUCAACCUCCACUUUCACUUCUUCUUUCUUAAGCCCUGGAACAUCAGCCUUGAACACGUGAGCUUCUGGGGUUUCCUUCCAGUCGAUUCGGGUGUUGACAAAAGCCGAGGUUUCAGAAGAGCGCGUGGAGAGUGAUGAAGAAGGAGAAGAGAAAGGGAAGUCCUUGAAAGGAUCCCAAACGUCAAGAGAGAAUGGAUCAAAGAUGCUGCUGCGACGGUUGCCAAAGAAGCUUGGAAUCAGAGACAUAUUCGGGAAUGGAAUGAAAAUAAGAUUAUAAGUAGUACGAAAAGAGGAAGAGCUAAGAGAGCUGUCUUAGAGUUUCUCUGCUUUGCUUGUCUGGGUAAUUCGGACACCUGAAAUGCAGUUUUUAUGGGGAUCUAUGAGGAUUCUAGUAUUCUCAAGAAUUUUCGGACUUAUCCAAUAAAAGAAACAGUUUGAUUUUCUAGGAUAUUCGGGAAUGCCCAUAUCCUCCAUGGGCCGCUUUAAACGCUGAUGAGUUAAAAACCCGAUGAGAACGAAAAGGACCACUCCACAAACUUGACGUUUACUUAAUAUUUUUUUGUCAAUUAAAAAGUUAUAAAACCACCGCUAAUUAUUCGAAUUUUUUUAAUCAUAGUAACAAUAUUUUUAAUUUUUAAAAAGUUAUAAAAUCACAUAGUAAUUUUUAGAAUACGCCUAAUAAUAAUUUUAAUUUUUAAUAUUUAUAUAUUGUGCUAAUUUAAUUUUAAAUUUAAAAAUUAAACCUUCAAAUUUGAGUAAUUUGAUUUCAUCCAAAUUUGACUUUUUUUUUUUGUUUUUAAUGAUCCUUUCUGACAUUGUCACUAUGUAACAAAUUGACCCAAGUUUUGAAAAUUAUUCAAUUCAAUUGCUUGAAAUUUAAAAAAAAAAUAUUGAGCUUUAAUUUGAUUUAUCAAUGACAGGCAACUCAAACUAAUAAAAAAUGAAUUGAUUAUUAUUAAGAGAUAUCAAGUUUUUGGUCCUUUGAAGCAUAAGAAAAACAAUAUAUUUGACAAUUGUCUAGUUUAGUAAUAAAUGAAUUUUUUUUAAAAUUGUUUUUAUUUUUAAUUUACAAAUUGUGUAUUAAAUUAUAUUUUCUUGUAAAAAAGAUAAAAUUAAGUAUUGUGUACUGUUGCAUUAGGGUAUCAGCUUGCAUUGUUCCAUUAGGUAAUGUGUACUUAAAAUUAAGAUUGAUAAAUCUUUUAAUUUGUCGGUUAUUCUGAUCCAUUAGAGUAUCAGCUUGUACUGUUGCAUGCGCUACAAAUGCAUUUGAGUCAACUAAUACAUGAUUGCUUUUCCAAAAUUGGAUCAUAAGAUCACCCUUAUAAAUAUCUUUACCAUUGAGUAAACUUUUCCAUAACCAAGAAUCGGUACAUUUAGUAUGUAGAUUAUAAAAGGAUUGACGACGGAAAUAUUUCCUUAGAAGUAUUUGUUGGGUUAGAUGCAUAGGGUUGGUAAGUAAUCACCAUGCUUGUUUACUUAGUAAAGCAUCAUUCAAUAUAUAGCUCCAUAUUUCUAAUAACCCACCAUCAGCAACGAGUUUGCAUAGAGUGUUCUAGUUAUACAUAUGUAGUUUUCUUUGAUCCAAUUCAAGACCUCACCAAAAGCAUUUCAAAAUGUGAUAAACCUUAUCCACUAUAUAUUUUGGAGCCCUAAAAUAGGACAAAAGUACAUAUGUAUGGUAGAUAAAAUGAAUUGAAGAAUAAUGAUUUCCAGACUACCAAUUUGGAUUGCACUUUCUUAACAAGACCUUGGAAGAAUAUACAUUAAAUUUGUAGCAGAGCCAUUUCUAUUCCCAGGUAUUUGCUUGGAUGUUCAACUUGUUUAACACCAAGAAUACAUGGCAUCCAUCAUUUCUUUUAUACAUGUCCAGAAUGAUUGAAAAAUAAUCUAAACUUUCUAGGAUAGUUUCGAAUAAUGAAUUGUUAGAAUAUAACGACUCUGUUAGUAUAAGUUGUUAGUUUUUUUAUUCCAAAUCUGUUAUGCUGUUAACAGCAAUUACUAGCAACAACUAGCUCACAAUAUUCUAUAAAUACAUGUGUUGUACUGUAGAUAUUAACAUGGUAUCAGUCGCCUCGAUACUGGAGAUCUGAUAUUCAUUUGCCUCCAUGACUACCAUUGCUUUUGCUAACUCUGCCUCUGUUGAGCACGGCGGUCUGGUGUUCACUGGUGCUCAGAUCAUUCAAUCCUUCCCUCAUCAUGACACUGUUAAAUUGGAUGCUGGAAAUUUCAUUCAGUGGCAGUAACAUAUUCGGCAGAUCAUUAAAGGUUACAAACUAACCGGGUUUUUAGAAGGCACGUUGCCUGCUCCGCCACGUUUUGUGCAGUCGUCGGAGGGAUAUCUCGUUCCAAAUCUGGAUUCCUUGGCGUUCAUUCAACAGGAUCAUUUACUUGCCUCCUUGUUGCUCUCAACUAUUACUUAUUCACUUUUAGCCUCAUUUACCUAUGCUCGAAUGACGUCUGAUGUUUGGAAUACUGCUCUUAUCUCUUCGCAGCAGUUACAAAUGCAAAACUAUCUCGCAUUCGUCACGAUCUACACUCCCUUAAGAGAGGUAACCUCUCCAUCCAAGAAUAUGUAGCAAAAAUUCAAAAUACCUAUGCCUUAAUUGAGGGUCCUUUUGCUUUGGUGGUCUCCAUCCAAGAAUAUGUAGCAACAAGAUCUUUUUUCUUUGGUGGUCUCCGACUUAUAGGGACCUGUGUCAGUUGCCUGUGGACGCAAUUGGUAUUAUGUCUCUUUUAUUGACAUGUGCACUCGUUUUAAUUGGAUUUAUCUUAUUCGUCAAAAGUUUCAAGUGGUGGAUUGCUUUGUUCAGUUUCAGCAAUUAAUCAAAACUCAAUUUGGGAAAAAUAUCAAACAAUUUCAGAGUAAUUGGGGAGGAGAGUUUUGCGCUUUCACGUCCGUAUUGGCGACUCAAGGGAUAAUACAUAGAUUGUCCUGUCCCUAUACAUCCGAAUAGAAUGGGGUGGCUGAACGCAAACACCGACAUAUUGUCGACAUGGGUAUUACACUUUUGGCCCAAGCAAAUUUUUCUAUGGAUUAUUGGGCCUAUGCAUUCUGUUCUGCUGUUCAUCUUAUCAAUCAUCUUCCUACCUCAGUUCUGAAUGGACACUCUCCGUAUAAGGUUCUGCAUGGACAGAUCCCAUAUAUGAUAAUUUACGAGUGUUUGAAUGUUGUUGUUUUCUGUGUCUACAUCACUUUCUAUGCCACAAGUUAAAUUUUCGCUCUCAACCUUGUACAUUUCUGGGAUAUAGUACCCAGCAUAAAGGAUAUCUAUGUCUCACAUCGGAUGGUAAGGUGGUUAUUUCUCGUCAUGUUGUGUUUGAUGAACAUCGUUUUCUAUUUCCUACGUCUUCUACAAGAGGUUCCACAUCUUCGUCCGGUCAAUCUCUCUUAUCGACAUAUGUUCCUAUUGUUCAACCUAUCUGUUCUCAAACCUCAGAAUUCUCAUCCGCUCAACCUUCUGUGAUGCCCUCACCUCCUGGUUUCUGUCCCUCGCCCUCUAACUCUGAAGUUCCUCAGGCUGUUUUAGGCUCUGCCCAUGAACUCUGUUUUGUCUCUUCUUUACCUAAUAAUGAAGGUGUGCCAAAUCCAACCACGAUAGCUUCUAAUAUUCCAGUAUCUUCUACUAUUCCGUCAGCUUCUUUGCCCCUCACGAAUACUCAUCUGAUGGUUACCCAGUCUAAGGCCAGUAUUUUUAAACAUAAGGCUCUGAUUAUUGAAGCUGUUGAACCUCACACGAUUCAGAAAACCUUGUCUAUCACCGAAUGGCAUACUGCUGCUCAGGCUGAGUAUGAUACUCUAAUUCGUAACUCCACCUGGGAGCUCAUUCCGUUACCAAAUAAUUACAAAGUGAUCGAGUGUAAAGGGCUUUUCAAAGUGAAGAAAAAUCCUGAUGGCAUGAUUGCUUCUCGUAAGGCUCGGUUAGUAGCUAAAGGAUGUUCUCAGGAGCCUGGGUGCGAUUUCAAGGAAACAUUUAGUCCGGUGAUAAAAAUUGCUACUAUUCGAAUCAUUCUAUCUAUUGCUGUUUCCAAGGGUUAGCAACUUCGUUAGGUGGAUGUAAAUAAUACCUUUUUAAAUGGUGAUCUUACUGAUGAAGUGUUUAUGCAGCAACCUUCAGGGUAUGUUCAAUAUGGUUUUGAUGGUAAACCUUUGGUCUAUCGUCUGAAGAGACUUUGUAUGGUCUACGUCAGGCUCCGUGUGUUUGGUUUGAUAAAUUGAAGUGUUUUCUCCUUUCUAUUGGUUUUCUUUUAUCCAAGUCUGAUGCAUUUUUGUUUGUUAAAAUUACACCUAAAUCCACUCUUUAUGUUCUUGUGUAUGUGGAUGAUAUUGUCAUUACUGAAAGUGUGCCUACCUGUAUAAAUAACUUUGUUCAGCAAUUGAAUAAGGAGUUCUCACUUAAAGAUAUGAGUGAUCUCCAUUCUGCUGAAGGGUGUCUUCAUCUAUGCCAACGAAAGUACAUUCGCGAUCUGCUAGACAGGAGCUUCAUGACUCAUGCAAAGAGUGUUUAUACUCCAAUAAUUAGUUCAUCUCCUCUAUCCAAGUGUGACGGGGAUCGUCUUAGUGACCCUAAUGAAUACAAAAGCCUUGCGGGUACUUUACAGUAUAUGGUCCUUACUCAACCUGAUAUUGCCUAUGUGGUAAAUCUUAUAUGUCAGUUCAUGCAUACGCCUAUUACUGUUCAUCUGGUACCCUUGAUUAUGGGAUUGCUUUUCGUACUUCUGCUCGACUUUCUUUAGUCGAUUAUGCCGAUGCUAACUAGCGCUAGAUUUUGAUGAUCGUCGCUCUACAAUAGGUUAUUGUGUAUAUUUUGGUCCCACACCAAUCUCUUGGUGUUCCAAGAAGCAACAAGUUAUUUUGCGGUCUAUGGCAGAAGUCGAAUAUCGGAGUCUUGCUACAGUUACUAGUGAUGUUGCUUGAUUGGUCUCGUUACUAAAAGAAUUACAACUUCACUCUACCGAUCCACCUACUAUUUGGUGUGACAACUCUAGUGCUGUCGCAGUAGCUGCCAAUCCUAUCUUACAUUCCAAAUUCAAGCAUGUGGAGUUUGAUCUGUUCUUUGUUCACGAGAAAGUUGCUGAUGGUUUUAUUCUUGUUGGUAAGUUACCUAUGUGUGAUCAGGUUACCGAUAUUCUUACCAAGUCACUCUUUAUUUCAUCCUUUGCUCGGUUUAAAGGUUUUCUUCAGGUCUUGCCUGUCGAGAAGAUAGGUGAAUGUUAGAAUAUAACGACUCUGUUAAUAUAAGUUGUUAGUUUGUUAUUCCAAAUCUGUUAUGCUGUUAACAUCAGUUACUAGCAAUAGCUAGCUCACAAUAUUCUAUAAACACCUGUGUUGUACAGUUCAAGAAGAUAAUACAGAAAUAAUAUAGAAUAGUUUUCAAUACACAAUAUAAUUUUUACUUAGCAUAUUGUAGAUAUUAACAUGAGCUAAUAUUCUUUUGAGAUCACAACAGGAGUGAAUAUUAGCAUUGAAGAAUAAGAAACAAUCUUUUGCAAACAAUAAAUGAGAUAUUGUAUGACAAUCCCGUGCAAUCCAUAAUUUGUUGGUUUGCCUCUGCAUGAAGUAAUAAUAUCGAAAAGCACAUUCUAGCAAAGUAGAAAGAAGUAGAGGGACAAGGGGUCACCUUGGCGUCGUCCUCAAUUUGGUGUAAUUGACUCCGUUGGACAGUCAUUCACAAGUAGUUGAUACGAUAUUGUGCUGACACAUUGGAGAAUGAAUUGCCUCCAUCGUUCACAAUAUUCUGCCCAUACACAAAUGUGUUUUCGUAGGGAGUGAUUAUGUCAUUCAUCAUUGGUUUAAGUAUAUUUGACCAAGACUUUUGCAAAAUUUUAUAAGCCACAUUGCUUAAGCUAAUGAGACAAAAGUCUAUUAUUUUAAAGGGUCUAAAAUUCAAUAGUUCUGAUCAUAUCUGUUUUUUUUAAUAUAAUGUUUAGAUUUACUCAUAGCCCCUCUCUAACCUAUAAGAGGAUAAUGGGUUUCAGCACACUCAAACUCAGGGGCGAAGCCGAAAUAAAUUUUUAGGGGGCUGGAUGAAAUUUUAAUUUUUUAUAGUCUAUAUCUUUAUAAUUUGUAAAGGAUUAAAUCGAAUUUUUAUAAUUUUAAGGGGCUGAAGUGUAAUUUUAUCUUUACUAUUUUAAAAUUUUAAAAAUAAAUUAAGAUCCUAAAUAAAAAUUUUACAUUUUAGGGAGGGUUGGGGACCCUACCAUCCCCCCUAAAUCCGCCUCUGCUAAAACUCACGUCCUCUUGCAUUAACAACAAUGCUUAUACCAAUCAAGCUAAAACUCAAUCGACAAAUUUAUUUUCUUUUUCUUAAUUGUAUUAAUAUAUAAUUGUAUAAAAAAUUUAUUGAGUUAAUAUUUUAAAAUUGUUAAUAUGAUUUUUAUUUUUUAGUUAAUAUAGUUUUUCAAAAAAAAUCACACCAACUCAAUCUAUAAGAAAACAUAAAAAUAUAUUUAUUUUAAAAAAUUACUCUUUUGCCAAUGUUUAAUGCCAGGUGGCCCAGUAAGUUGUUGAACUUGAAAUAUGAAUGGGUCCAAUUUGAUGAAUAAUAUAAACAAGUCCAAAUCAUUCAAGUUGAUUCUCUACCUUUCCUGAAUUAAGACAAAUUCAAGAUGGUAACCAAAAAAAAUAAGAUAAGUUCUUAAAAAUACGGGAUUCCUCUUCAGCAUCUUAUAAAUACCCCCCACCUAUCCUAUUUUGUAACAUCAAGAAAGUAGUAUCAGAUCCUCAAAAUAGUCAGCAACCUUAACACUUACUAAUUUCGUCAUUUGAAGUUUUUCAUCAUCUUUGCUUCGUGGUACAGCAGAAAUGGCAAUGAUCCCAAGUUUCUUUGGUAACCGACGAAGCAGCGUCUUUGAUUCGUUCUCUCUAGAUGUUUGAGAUCCAUUCAAGGACUUAUGUUGGAACUAGAAAACAAAAUGAAUGAAGUUGACAGAAACUUGAGCUUGAAGGCUCAAUGUCUUGCUGAGCAAACUAGCAAAAAACGGCCAAAGAAAUUUGAACAGAAAGUUUAAGCGAGGAUCAAAAUGAAGAAAAAAAUUCUGAAAGAUUUCAUUAAUUUGAAUUGAGGCAUAAUGCCAAUACAUAUACCAGUCAACUAGCUGGUCAAAAUAACCAAAUGUCACCUAAACAUCACCUAACUCCACUAAUAACAUUGUAACUUGAUAAACAUUGCUUGUACACUUUGAAAAGCUGAUUUAUCAGCUCAAACCCCACCUAAUUACAUCAAGUACAUCAACAACUUAGUUCUAAUCUAACUAAGUUUCAAAACAUCAUUUGAAAAUAACAAAAUGAAACAGCAGCAUGAACUUCAGCUGUAACUACAUGGCUCGGGCUGCAUGGUCUGCUCCUUUUCCGCAUGCAGGCCAACUUCAACACUCCUCUUUGGCUUGCAUGCUGCAAACUCCCAUUUUGGUUCUCAAAACCUUGAACAUUGACACACAAAGAGGCUUUGUCAAGAUAUCAGCAAGCUAGUCUUCAGAACUGCAAUGAACUAGUCUGAUUUCUUGAGAUUAUUCCAUUUCCCUAACAAAGUGAAACUUUAUCUUGAAAUGCUUGGUUCUCCCACGAAACACUGGAUUCUUUCCAAUUGCAACAACAGAUUGGUUAUCACAUCUGAUCUCUGUUGCUUCUCUUUGGUGUAGAAUCAAGUCUGGCAUGAUUUUUUUUAGCCAAAUAGCUUGGUUAACAGCUCAUGUAGCUGCCACAUACUCUGCCUCUACUGUCGAUUGAGCAACAAUAGUUUACUGUUUUGAACUCCAACAAAAAUUGUAGAACUAAGGGUAAACAGAUACCCUGAGGUACUUUUCAUGUCAUCUAUCAAUUCAGCCCAAUCAAUAUCUACAUAACCAAUUAGCUUCAUGCUAUCAACCUUGGUGAACAUUUUUCCAAAACUUAGUAUACCUUUGAUGUACUUGAGAACUCUUUUAGCAGCUUGAAAAUGACUUGUAUUGCAACAAUGCAUGAGCCUAGAUAGUAGACUUACAGCAAACAUGAUGACUGGUCUUGUGGCUGUCAAAUACAACAAACAUCCUGCUAGGCUUCUAUAAGUUGACUCAGCUACCCUUUCGAAAUCACCUUGGCUGGUCAGCGUUUCUUUAAUAGCAACUGGUGUGUUGGUCGCUUUACAAAUCAGCAUGGAGAACUUGUUUAGAAUCUUCAAGGAAAAUGCCUUUUGGCUUAGGAAAAUCCCUUGCUAAUUUUGAGACACUUUUAUGCCAAGGAAGUAUGACAUUUCUCCCAAGUCUGACAUAUCAAACAUGCUCUCCAUUUUUCUUUUGAAAUCAGCCAAUAUGCCAUUGUUUCCUCCUGUAACCAGCAAGUCAUCCACAUGCAAUAAGACUAUGAGCUGUAUUUCAACACCUUCCUUCUUCACAUACAAGAUUGGCUCACUGAUGCUUCUCUCAAACCCCAAGCUAGCUAAGUAGCUGUCGAUUCUAUCAUACCAGGCUCUUGGUGCCUAUUUUAAACCAUAUAAGGCUUUCUUCAGCUUGUACACAUUGUCCUCUUUGCCUUUAACUUUGAAACCUUCAGGCUAUUCAACAUAGAUCUCCUCAUCAAGAAAACCAUUAAAGAAGGCAAAUUUUACAUCGAGUUGAUGUAUCUUCUAUUUCUUUUAUGCAGUUAAAGCAACCAAUAGUCUGAUUGUGUCAAGUCUAGCCACUAGUGUAAAUGUCUCAAAGUAGUCAAUGCCAUAAUUUUAACUGAAUCCCUUCACUACCAGCAUUUCCUUCAGCUUGUUCAGAGUUCCAUCAGCAUUGUGCUUGGCUCGAAAUACCCAUUUUACUCCUAUGACCUUUCUGUUGGCUGGCCUUCCAACUAAUUCCCAGGUCAGGUUCUUAUUAAUCAUGUUCAUUUCAUCGAGCAUGGCCUGUUUCCAUCCUAGUUGAACUUUAGCUUCUUCAAAACAAGUUGGUUCUACAGUAGCUACAUCUACUUUUGCAUAAAUUUUAGCCAGUGGUUUGGUUUCCCUGACUGCUCAUCUUCAAAGUCUAUUUCAGGAUCAUCUUGAUCACCUUUAGUGUAAUCUGUCACUAGGUCUUCAGCAGCACAUUGUGGCUCAUUUUUAUUCCAGUUCCAGCUUGAUUUCUCAUAUAAAACUAUAUCUCUACUCAUAAAAGCCCUGUUGGAUGUAGGAUCCAGAAUCCUAUAGCCUUUCUUCACACUACUGUAGCCUACUAAGAUGCCAGGUUGAGCUUUCUUUGCUAGCUUGUCUCUCUUGAUCGCAGGUAUGUGUGUAUAACAAAUGCAGCCAAAGACCUUCAGGUGAGCAAAUGAUGGCUUGAACCCAAACCAAGCCUCAAAUGGUGUUUUUUAAACCAAAGCCUUUGUUGGUAGCCUAUUUUGAAGGUAAACAACAGUGUUAACUACUUUAGCCCAAAAAAUAUUAGGCAGCUUCCUUUCAAACAUCAAGCACCUGACCAUAUCCAUCAAAGUUUGAUUCUUCCUCUCACUGACACCAUUCUGCUGAGGUGUGUAGGUGCUUGUGAGCUGGUAUUUGAUGCCUACUUCAUAACAAAAGCCCUGAAACAUGGUUGAAGUAUACUCGGUGCCAUUAUCAGAUCUUAGUGUCUUGAGCUUGCAACCUGAUUUUGUUUCUACUGCUGCCUUGGAUUUCCAAAAUACUGAAGCCACUUCUGACUUGUACUUUAGGAAGUAAACCCAACAAAACCUUAAGUAAUCAUCAACAAAAAGGAUGAAAUACCUGCUACCAUUCUAGAACUGUGUCUUUAUAGGGCCAUACACAUCAGUGUGGACUAACUGUAGCUUUCUAAGGCUCUCCAAGCCUUAUUCAAAGAAAAUGGCUGUCUAGCUUGUUUUCCUAGUUGACACACUUCACAAACAUCCUCUUUCUCAACUGAUUUUGUGAAGUUUUCAACCAAGUCCCGUUUGGUCAGUUGAACAAAAGACUUGUAGUUAGCAUGGCCUAGCCUUUUUUGCCAUAUCUUAGACUCAUCUAAGAUAGUUCUGUAGGCACUGUCUGAACUUUUAUUCUAAACCACAAUAAAACUUCUGUCAGCCAUGGUCACUGACAUAAGUUUGGAUCCACUUGGAUCACUAAUCAGGCAUUAUAUGUCUUUAAACACUACUGAGUAACCUUUUUCAAGUAGCUGAGCUAUAGUAAGCAGAUGUUUAUCAAUUUCAGGCACAAACAAGACAUUUGAAACAAGUUUGAUACAUAUAGGAGUGUCAAUCAGCACAUCUCCCUUGCAUUCUACUUUAAUAUAGUAUCCAUUGCCCACUUUUACUCUUGUGUUAAAGCUCCUAUCUAUGUUCUUAAAGAUUGCAGCAUUAGGUGUCAUGUGGUUUGUAUAGCUACUGUCUAUCAGCCACCCUUUUGUGGUCUUUCUUCUAGCAGCAGAGCAUGAAACCACAAAGACUUGCUCUUCUUGGUCACAGUCUUCUUCUGCCACUUGAGCUUCAGCUUUAAGCUGUUGAGACUGGUUUUGCCUCUGCUUGCCUUUGUUUCUGCAAACCUUCUCAACAUGGCCUAUCUUUUUACAAAUUUUGCACUACACAUCAGGCUUGAACCAGCAGUUUGCUUCUAAAUGACUAAGCCUACUACAAUAUGGGUAAGAUGGAUAUUUUCUUCUUGCUCUAUCUCUUCUAGGCUUGACUGACCAAGUAUUUUUCCCUUUGUAGCCCGAAGAGCUUGAGAUUGGUUUGCUCUUGGCUUGGAAGACACCUUCUUGAUGUUUUUCCUGUCUACUGGCUUUUCUUUGCUCUUGAACAUAGAAAGCAUUGAUCAGCUCUAUCAAAGAGAUGCUAGACAGAUCUCUUGAUUCUUUAAGGGAUGAGAUUUUGGCUUCAUAUUUUUCAAGUAAGGUUGAAAUAACCUUCUCUACAAUUCUUGCUUCACUGAACUGUUAUCCAAGCAAUCCGAUGUUGUUCACAACAGAAAUGAUCCUAUCUGAAUAUUGCUUCACUAUUUCUUCUUCCUUCAUUUUCAAAUUUUCAAAGUCCCUUAUCAAAUUCAAGAGUUGUUGCUGUCUCGUUCAUUCAGUCCCUUGAAACUCCUUCUUAAGUUUAUCCCAGGCUUGUUUUGGAGACUCACAAGCCAUGAUCCUUGUGAAAACCAUAUCAGACACACUAUUUUGGGUACACUACAUGGCUUUGUAUCUCUUGGCUCUAUCAUCAGAGUGUUGCCUGAUCUGAGCCACUAUGGGAUUGGCUCUCAAGGGUGGUGGUUCAACAUCCGAGUUGACAGCCUCUCACAAGUCAAAUGCCUAUAGGUAGGUCUUCAUUUUCAUUACCCAAAUGUAGUAGCCUUCAGAAUUGAACAUUGGUGGUGGAGCUAGAGAGAAUCUGGAUGAAGACAUGAUUUUUAAGAUUGAAGAAUGACAGGUCCACUAAGAAAAUAAGCUUUUAAUACCAAUUGUUGGAGUUUUUGUAAGAGUAGAGGAAGAAAAAUAGGACACAAGACAAGGCAGCAAAAUACAAUAAAAAAAUUUUACUUGCUCACAAAUGUGCAGCAAGGGAGCUUAUGGCUGAUAGCUCAUUUUUGCUCACUCAUUCAAUAAGAAAACAAUACAUUUAUAGUAAAAUACAUCACCAAACACUACCUAAACAUCACCUAACUCCACUAAUAACCUUGUAACUUGAUAAACAUUGCUUGUACACUUUGAAAAUCUAAUUUAUCAGCUCAAACAUCACCUAAUUAUAUCAAGUACAUUAGCAACUUGGUUCUAAUCUAACUAAGUUACAAAACAUCAAUCGAAAGUAAUAAAAUAAAAUAUCAGCAUGAACUUCAGCUGCAACUGUAUGGCCCGGGCUGCAUGGUCUGCUCCUUGUCCGCAUGCAGGCCAACUUCAACAACUUACCUUUCCCUUCUUCACUUUUCGAACAAAACACUGAUACCUCAGCUUUUUUCAACGCUCAAAUCGACUGGAAGGAGAACCCCAAAGCUCACAUCUUCAAGGCUAAUCUUCUUGGGCUCAAGAAAGAAGAAGUGAAAGUGGAGAUUGAAGAUUGAAGAUGACAGGGUACUUUAAAUCAGUGGACAAAAGAAUGUUGAGAAGGAAGAUAAGAACGAUACUUGGCACUGGGUUGAACGUAGCAGCGGCCAUUUUAUGAUGAGAUUUAGGCUGCCAGAGAAUGUAAAAAUGGAUCAAGUUAAAGCUUCCAUGGAAAUUGAGGUUAUUACUGAUACAGUUCCUAAGGUGGAAGUAAAGAAACUUGAUGUCAAAGCCAUUGAUAUUGUUGGUUAAACACUCGUGUUUGCAGGUCUUAUUAUCAAUAUUGAGAACUGUUUAUAUAAUUUGUCUGUCUACUUGUCUGUAACUUUGGGAAUCGUAAUGUGUUGUAUUAGCCUGACUAAAUGAUAAACAAGGUUUAGUUUGUGUUUGUGCAUGAUUUUGGCUUGUAAUACUACCAUGUUCUCAUGUAUAAUGUGAAAAUGUUGGUAUCAUCAAUGUAAACGUUCCUCGUUUUCUUUCAUUUUUCUGCUUGUGUAUUUUGCUGCUAUAUUCAAAUUGUUUCUUCCAACCAUUACAAGCAUGCUUCUUUUCUAUGACACAACCUUGGCAUGUAAGUUGCGAAGAUGAUACAAUUUCUUGCAUUGGUUUGUCUGUACCAAAAUGUUGCAAGAACUUCCUUAAUUUACGAGAAACUUAACAAGAAAAUCUAUAAUAUUUGAUUCUAAUUCCAUUUCUUACCUAUACUUAGCAAAGAAGAAAGAAAAGUUCAUUUAAAAUCACGAGGAGUGGUGUUGUAAUUACUCAUUUCAUGCCUUAUAAGGUCAAGAGUACGAUUUCCGUCUAUAAGAAAAGACCACAUUUCAUGAUCAAUUUUUAUUUUUUUCGGAAAGUACCCAUUGAGAGAGAAAUAAUCACUACUACUAGUGAUGAAUACCUUGAUUUCAAUAAAAAAAAGUGCAUCUAGGGUCACUAUUUGUACAUUGAAAUAAGUUUUACCUUUGGGUGGCUAACACUACGUAAGCACAUGAUUCGUAGUCUACAUCUCAUUGAACAUAGGCAACUCCUUAAGGAUUUCACUGCUGCCAUAUGUCAGAGCUUAAUAUCAACUGCGAAGCCCCCCUUCACAGGCAUAAUGCUAAGCCUCCUUGGAUUCUUGAUGAUGCUGAAGCAAUGGCACAUCAACUAUAGAUUUCAUUAGGCAUAUAGAUAUAGAAAAAGUUGCUAAAAAGACUAAUAUUGAAUAAUAAAUCUAAAAGAAAUUGUUAGUAUAAGAUCAUUUUUGAACUCUAUCAGAGUUAAAAUUCCUUUCAAUUAAAUAGCUUGCUUUAUGAAAGUAUGAAAUAUAUUCCUUCUAAGGCAUAUCUCUAAAUAAACAAAUCUAGGGAAUGUGACCAGCACUCACAUAUCUGAACCUCACCCAUUUGUGUAUUUGCAACUGCUGGAUCUAGUGCAUUGAUUAGCAUGUGUGGUUGGAACCAACCGACAUUCACUACUUGGUUGACAUUCAUCCAACGAACUGCAUUUACUGCCUUCUUUUUCUCUUUCUUCUCCGAUAAUCAUUUAAUAGAAAUGUAGUUGUUGGUAUAAAAAUUGAUUGUGGCAAUAAGCUAGUAGUUUUUUCUGGAGGAAACCAGAUUCAAGAAAAAAAAUUAGGCAGUUUGCCUUUAUUUUAUGUUAGACUAUAUAGGAAGAUUUGCUGUAAAAAAAAACAAAAGAAACUCACUCAACAACACUUUAUGAAUUGUAUACAAAAAAACUCAAUAAAAAACAAGAACUCAAGGCACUUUUUAUUCACUAAUUUACAUCCUUUAUAUAGGCUGAAACUACAAUAAAUUUAGCUAAAAAUAGGAUAAAUCAGAAGCAAAAUCACAAUCAGAUGUUUAACCAUGAUUUUAGUUAACCAUUCAACAACAUUAUUGAAACUAAUUUGAAUAUUUCAUCUGCUGAUAUGCCCAAGAUUUUAGGCCACUAACUGAGUUGGUGAUAAACUUUAACACUCCCCUUCAACAAAAACUCCAAACCUUUUCGUAAUCCCAAGUUGUCAGCAAAUAUUUUCCAACUUAGUUGUACUCAAGCCUUUCGUGAACAAGUCUGCAACCUAGUUAUCAGUCUUGACAUAGAACAACUUAAUUUCUUCUUGUAACACCUUCUCCCUAACAAAAUGGUAGUGCACCUCCACAUGUUUGGUCCUUGCAUGAAAUACAGGAUUUUCUGCUAAACGCAUAACUGACUGAUUGUCACAAUAGAGGGGUAUUAUAUAAUCAACUUUUUGGUGCAAAUAUUCCACAAGAAAACUAACCAUGUACUUUAUUGGGCUGCCAUAGCUGCUGCGCUAUAUUCUGCCUCUAUUGUCGAUAAGGACACAGUUGGUUGUCUUUUAGUAUACCCAGGAAUUGUCCCCAAGCCAAACUUUAAUACAUAGCCUGUGGUUGAUCGACGUGUAUCGUGAUCCCCUGCAUAGCCAGCAUCACAAUAACCAGCUAGUUUGUAAACCUCACAUUUCUUAUAUAGAAGGCCAUAAUCAAGAGUACCCUUCACAUAUCUUAGAACUCGUCGAAUUGCUUCCAAGUGUUGUUUCUUAGGAUUCUGUAUAUAUUGACUCAUUACCCCAACAAUAUAAGAAAUAUCAGGUCCAGUUAAAGUUAGGUAAAUGAGACUACCUACAAGUUGUUGAUACAUUAACCUAUCUUCCAAGUCUUUCCCUUCAUGAGCACAAAACUUGGUGUUUGGUUUCACUGGUAUAGUGAUGGUCUUGCAAUUGAGCAUUCCAAAUUUCUACAACAAAUCUUUUGCAUAUUUCUCUUGACAAAGAAACAUGCAUUCUUUUGUAUAAUCAAUUUCUAGCCUCAAGAAGUGUUUAAGUUGGCCAAGUUCCUUUAUUUGAAAACAGACUGACAAGUUUUGUCGAACUUGGUGGAUUUCAUCAUUAUCAUCUCCAGUGAUUAUCAAAUUGCCCACAUACACCAACACUAUUGCCAACUUCCCUUCACUAACCUUGACAAACAGACUAGAAUCUGCAUGAGCCAUAACAUAAUCAGUUUGAGUUAAACAUUCAGCAAUCUUACCAUACCAUGCUCCCAGCGAUUGCUUUAACCCAUAUAACGCCUUCUUUAACUUGCAAACAUAACCAGGAUGACUUCCACUCUUAAAUCUAAUAGGCUGAUUCAUGUAAAUUUCACGAUCUAGCUCUCCAUGCAAAAAAGCGUUCUUCACAUCCGUUUGGCACAACUUUCUAUCUUUGCUAGUAGCAAGAGCCAAGAGAACUCGAAUAGUAACAAUGUUUACCACCGGACUAAACGUCUCUUCAUAGUCCAAUCCAUAUUGUUAAAAAUAUCCCCUUGCAACUAACCAAGCCUUGUACCUCUCAACUGAUCUAUCAGGGCGUACUUUAUUUUAUAAACCCAUUUACAAGAUAUGGGUUUCACAUCUAGUGGACGUGGCACAAGCUUCCGUCUGGUUUUGUUCCAAUGCAGCAAUCUCUUCUUCUAUUGCUUUUACCCACUCAGAAUCUUAAGACACUUCUUCAUAAGUUGUUAGCUCGACCAAAGGUUUUUCCUCCGCUACAGCUACAUUAGCAUACUUUAGAUUUUACCUACGAAAUCUGGUUGAUCUUCUAAGUUGUGGUUGCAAAGUUUUUUCACCCUCUAAAUUGAUUUCGGCCUUUUGCCUCUGAUGAACACCAUUUCGCCAAGAAUUUGUUGUUGUCUUAACAACUUCAUUGUCUCCAAUUUCUUUAUUAGCUACAGGACUUGGUUGUAUCUCAAGAAACUGCUCAUCUAUUUUCCCUUGGGGUUGAUCUUCUUUUACUUUAGAAUCUGGCAACUUCACUUGUUGUGGAGUCCACCAAGAAGAAGUUUCAUCAAACACUACAUUGUGUGAUGUAUAGCAUUUCUCAAUCACAGGGUCAAAACACCUCCAUCCUUUCCUUUGGUUAUCAUAUCCAACGAAGAUACAUCGAAUUUCUUUCUUAUCGAACUUGCUCCUUAAAUAACCUAGAAUAAACACAUAGCAAAUACACCCAACAACUCGAAAAUUACCAAUAGCAGGUUUAGUAUCCCAUAGUACCUCAAAGAGUGAUAUGAAACCAAGCUUUAGUGUUGGAAGUUUAUUAAUGACAUGAGCAGCAGUGUUCAUGCAUUCUGCCCAAAAUCUUCCAGGUGUAUUUUUUACAUGAAACAUACUCUGGCACGUCUCAACAAGAUGUUGAUGCUUCCUAUUGGCAAUUCCAUUUUGUUGUGGCAUGUUGGCACAUGUAAAUUGAUGAUGAAUCUUGUUAUUUCUUACAUAGGUAGAAAACUCAUCUGAUGUGUACUCCCCGCCAUUAUCUGUGCGUAAGCAUUGAAUUUUUCUACCAACCUCUGUUUCAGCUACUUCUUUAAAUUCUUUAAACUUGGCAAAUGUCUCUGAUUUUUCUUUCAUAAAAAAAACCCACACGUACCUUGAGAUAUCAUCAAUAAAAGUCACCAUAUAGCACAUCCCAUAAAUUGAAGGUUGCUUGACUCGCCCAAACACAUCAGAAUGAACUAGCUCUAACCGAGCCUUUGCUUUGUACUUAGAUUCUUUAUAUGGUAGCUGAUGCGCCUUACCGAAUUGACAUCCUGUACAAACAGUAUCAUCUCGCACUUCAAGUUGAGGAAGACCCUUUAGUAUUAAGUUUUUCAUCAUAACUUUUAGCUUGUGAUAACUGACGUGUUCAAGCCUUGCGUGCGAAAAAUCUAUCGUCUCAUUCUUCUUUAUUUUGUCCACAUAAGCAGUUUUUGUCGACAUUAUAUAGACAAAUUCCAUUCUCUUCCCUUUCAUGGUUGGUGUUCUUGAGACUUUAACAUUUUCGAAUACCUUUACACCCUGUGGACUAAACAAAACAUGGUGACCUGCAGAUGUUAAUUGUGCAACAGAUAAUAAUUUUUUCUUCAUACAAGGCACAUGAUAAACACUUUGAAUUGACAUUGGAUUAGAACUAAAUCGAGGUGCAAUAGUCGUCUUACCAACAUAGGUGAUAGGUAACCUUGAGUUGUUGGUCGUUACCACCACAUGAUUUUCUUUGUACAUUGCAACAUCUUGAAGCUUUUCUUGAACACCAGUCAUGUGAUUAGAACAACCAGAGUCAACAAUCCAGUCGUUCUUAUAGUCAAUCUUCUAGGAAGUUGUUACUGCGAGUGCCAAGUCUUCUUCUUCCACAGCAAAGGAUGCUUCAGCAUCCCACUUAUCAUCACUCUGAACAUCUCCUUUAGAUGUCACUACAUUACUCUCAACAACUUUCUUCUUGGACCAAUAGUCUUUGGCAAUGUGACCAUUUUUGCUGCAAUUAUAACAAUCACCAUCAAACUCUUCCUCUGGUUGAAUCGGUUGUUGUAGUUGCUACACUUUUGAGUUUCUCCAAAUUGCGAACUCCUAUGAUGACUUUCUGAUUUGCCAUCAUUCUUUCUUGGUCUGCUUCUGACAUCAUACCUGGGUUUUUCUUUGCUCUUUCCACUAAAAAGUGCCACAUCCUCAGUUUUGAUUGAGACUCCACCCAUUUUUUUUUGCCAAAGCCUCUUGACUCGUCAACAGAUUCUCAAAAUUUGCAAGCGAUGGUUGUGUUGGCCAUCCUUGAAUUGCAGCAACAAAACUCCUGUACUCCGGUCUCAAUCCAAAAUGAUGAUCCUUCUUAUUCUAGAAUCCGCAAUACAAGAACUAGAAUCAAGUUCAGAGAUCUCACGACAUAAGGUUUUUACCUUAGUGAAGUACUGGUUGACUGCCAAAUCUUAUUGCUUCAUUUAUAACAAUUCAUUCUCUAAGAGCUGCAGCCUUGUGUCAUUUUUCGUGAGAAAAGUUCUUCCAACAUGUCCCACGCCUGUUUUGGUGUGUCAAUGUCUCUGAUAUGCUCUAACAUUUCUUCUUCUACAGUGGUUUUAAUUGCAAACAUAGCCUUGCCUGCAUUGGCCUUCCACUUCUUCAAGCUGUUAGCUUCUUGAGGCAAUGGUGAAGGCUCAUCUCCGCUAACAAUGUCCCACACAUCUUGAGCCUGCAAGUAAGACUUCAUACAUGUUGUCCAUGUGUUGUAAUUUUGGUUAUUAAGCUUUUUUACUAUUGCUCCAACAACUGAAAAAUCAACCAUGAUUAUCUUCACGAAUUUGGCGCUGAUAUCACACUGUUAGACUACAUGGGAAGAUUUGCUGUAAAAACAAAAGAAACUCGCUCAAUAACACUUUAUGAAUUGUAUAAAAAAAACUUAAUAGAAAACAAGAACUCAAGACACUUUUUAUUCACUGACUUACAUCCUUUAUAUAGGCUGAAACUACAACAAUUUUAGCUAAAAAAUAGAAUAACUCAGAAACAAAAUCACAAUCAAAUAUUAAACCAUGAUUGAAACUAAUUUGAAUAUUUCAUCUGCUAAUAUGCUCAAAAUUUUAGGCCACUAACUGAGUUGGUGGUGAACUUUAACAUUUUAUUCUCACUAUUUCUUCUGUUGAUAUUCUGGAUCAUGUUUCUAUGCGAGUAUUUGAUCUGUUAUAUACACAUCCUGUUGUGAGCGUCACCCUAUCUUUUAUUCAUUUAGAGAUUUAAAUAUUUUCUAAUGGUGCAAAAUGAUACGGUUCAGUUUACGGUGCAAUCGGUUUAUUUGAGUUUUGACGAAUUGUAACAUCAUUCAGAACUGUUGAAGCAACCAAAAGAGAAUCCAUUGUACUGCAAUUGAUUUGUUGACUAAUGGUUCUGUGUCAUAUGGUUAGCAUUCCCAACAAGACAGUUGAGAACGAAAAAUUUAGCAUUCCCAACAAGACAGUUGAGAACGAAAAAUUAGCUACUGAAUUUAAGGCCAUCAUCACCCUGGUUUUUAUCUUCUAUAUAAAAUCACCUUUUUUUUUCUUUGUCGGGAGGAGAUAUAUAGCAGAUGUCAUAUCACGCUUAAAAAAUAGUUGCAAAGGCAAAGCCCCCACUCCAAAUAUAGUUAGCACUGAUAGAAGAUAUUGCCCAUGAACUUAGAGCUUCCCAACCAUCAUGGAAAGUACCUUUUGUCCUGCCACUCUGAUCAUUUCCGUAACUCAAGACUCAAGGAAGAGACAAUGGAGUUAGGGUUAUUUCCUUCGAAGGUAUUUCUGUAUUAAUCUGAUAGUGUAUUUACUGCGACUAUAGACGCCAUGCCUUAGCUUCGACUUAUCCCCUGAGAUUAAGGAUCUGCCUACAAGAUAAUUAAAUAUAAAAAUAAAAUAUAUAUUGCUGCAACUGAUAGCAAGAAAAAAUGAAAUGAGAUCCAUCUUUGGUCGUCAUUUGAAAUACUUUGGUAUGGACUGGACACUUACAAGGGCGGUGUAAAGUUUGUUGUCUGUCCAUGAUGCGGUUCCGAAUGCCGCUAUCGGACAACUAAAAAUAAUAUGGCUUGACAAGCAGAUUACUAGGAGGCAUUGGUUCUAUGAACCAGAACGAGUUCGUAGGGAAGGGCUAAAGGGCUGAUUAACAGCAGACAGCGUUGCUUAGGCCAGUUUCGUAAUUGCCUGAAGUUUCAACGAAAUUGCUUGUUGGGGAUGAGGAGCAAAGGAAGAAAACAGAGAGCACAGAAUAAUGAAGCAAGAUGCAAGAAAUAUUUUUACUUGUUCAUAAAUGUGCAACAAGGAAGCUUAUUGCUGAUAGCUCAUUUUGCUCAUUCAUUCAACUAGAAAAAAUAAUACAUUUAUAGUCAAAAAAAUCACCAAAUACUACCUACUACCACUAAUCACACUUUGAAACAAGUAAAACUUAACUUGCACACAAGCUGAUUAUGUCAAUCAGCACCUAAAAACAUAAAAAAAAAUCCAACUUAGUUCAUUUUAAACUAAGUAACUUAACAAAGUAACUAAACAACCUUGCUGUUACAACAAGCAUACGUGCUGCAGCAUGUUUACAAGCUGCAUGCACUUAACCAAAAAUAUAACAGCAGCAUGGUUGGCCAAUUUUCAACAUUGCUGCAAAUAAGCAUCUUAUUUUUGAAAAUGUACACCUCAAAAAGUAAGUAUUCACAAAUCGCAGUAGAAGUAGAGGGAUUUGGAACCAUUGUUGCUGAAACCCUGAGUAGAAUUUGUGCACGACUUGCAGUGACCAAAAGUGGAAUGCAAGGCUUACAACCGGCAUAUAGAAAGUAGAUAAGAAAUGAAAUCUUGUUUGAUAAAGACAAAAGAUGUAAAAAAGGCCGAAAGAAGGGUUUAUCCUAGGUGAGUUUGAAAUAAAAGAUGGAAUUUUGCACCCAAGGUGUUACCCUUGUACAUUUCAUUGAGUGAAUUGGAGAAAAUGAUUCUUGUCAGGCUAAAUAAACCAUGUCAAACCAUUAGUGAUUGAAAUUCCUUCAACCAUCUACAGAAAGUAGAUAACAAAAGCAGGGAGGAUAAACUCAUUUAGUAACAAUUAUUUUUUACAUUAACAACACAAACUUCAUCAACAACAUAAAGCCAUAGUACCCAUAGCUUUGUUUAUCACACACAAUUGACAAUAGGCACAGAACUCUCAAUCUCAAAGUAAAGGAGACAGGCACUCACAAGUUACAAACAUCUUUAGCUGGAAAUUUCAAUGGACUUUACGUCGGGCUUUUUGACUUCAAGUUUGGGAAUAGUAACAGUAAGCACCCCAUUUUCCAUGGAAGCCUUGAUCUGAUCCAUCUUGGCAUUCUCCGGCAGUCUAAAUCUCCUCAUGAACUUACCACUACUGCGUUCCACCCGAUGCCAUGUGCCGUUCUUUUCUUCCUUCUCUACAUUCCUCUCCCCGCUUAUCUGAAGCACCCUGUCAUCUUCAACCUCCACUUUCACUUCUUCUUUCUUAAGCCCUGGAACAUCAGCCUUGAACACGUGAGCUUUUGGGGUUUCCUUCCAGUCAAUUCGGGUGUUGACAAAAGCCGAGGUUUCAGAAGAGCGCGUGGAGAGUGAUGAAGAAGGAGAAGAGAAAGGGAAGUCCUUGAAAGGAUCCCAAACGUCAAGAGAGAAUGGAUCAAAGAUGCUGCUGCG
Molecule: long non-coding RNA, 20893 nt
Filed under: Gossypium barbadense (sea-island cotton)
Lineage: Eukaryota; Viridiplantae; Streptophyta; Magnoliopsida; Malvales; Malvaceae
Description: long non-coding RNA (GBAR_LNC017730)
Source: RNAcentral